Molecule: long non-coding RNA, 212 nt
Filed under: Homo sapiens (human)
Lineage: Eukaryota; Metazoa; Chordata; Mammalia; Primates; Hominidae
Description: non-protein coding lnc-LYPD6-10:1
Source: RNAcentral
GAUGAAGCCUUUAUGUCCACUUAACAGAUUAGGAAACUGAGGCACUGAAAGGUAAAUAUAAUUGCCCACAGUCUCACAGUAAGUUGAGGUGUCCAGUUUCAACUUUGGUUGGCUGUCUGUCUUCUACCCAGUGCUCUAGCUAUUACCCAAAACUAGAGGGUGAAACCCCGUCUCUACGAAAAAUAAAAAAAUAGCCUGAUAUGGUGGCACGU